RNAcentral lists this ribosomal RNA (460 nucleotides) under uncultured bacterium. RNAcentral's name for it is "partial 16S ribosomal RNA". It matches the Rfam family "Bacterial small subunit ribosomal RNA", at positions 338 to 795 of the family's 1533-position model. The record is from RNAcentral.
CCUACGGGUGGCAGCAGUGAGGAAUAUUGGUCAAUGGACGAGAGUCUGAACCAGCCAAGUAGCGUGAAGGAUGACUGCCCUAUGGGUUGUAAACUUAUUUUAUAUGGGAAUAAAAUGUUCCACGUGUGGGAUUUUGUAUGUACCAUAUGAAUAAGGAUCGGCUAACUCCGUGCCAGCAGCCGCGGUAAUACGGAGGAUCCGAGCGUUAUCCGGAUUUAUUGGGUUUAAAGGGAGCGUAGGUGGAUUGUUAAGUCAGUUGUGAAAGUUUGCGGCUCAACCGUAAAAUUGCAGUUGAAACUGGCAGUCUUGAGUACAGUAGAGGUGGGCGGAAUUCGUGGUGUAGCGGUGAAAUGCUUAGAUAUCACGAAGAACUCCGAUUGCGAAGGCAGUUCACUGGACUGCAACUGACACUGAGGCUCGAAAGUGUGGGUAUCAAACAGGAUUAGAUACCCGAGUAGUC